This 1191-nucleotide long non-coding RNA is filed under the name Phasianus colchicus (ring-necked pheasant). RNAcentral describes it as "lncRNA (ENSPCLG00000004908.1)". The record is from RNAcentral. Lineage: Eukaryota; Metazoa; Chordata; Aves; Galliformes; Phasianidae.
AAAAAAUCUUAGCUGAAAGUUAAGAAUGGGUGGAUCACAAAAGGUAAAUUUUCUUCUGGAGUCAUGGGAUGACCAGGUCUUUUUUUAGGGGAAGAAAGAAAAGCACAAAUGUGAUGCCACGUUCAGAACAGGCAGUUCAGCUGGGACUUACUGCUCCUUGACCCAGAUAUACAGAAGUGCUUGUACUGUUGAAGUGUUACAUGGAGAGCACAGAGCUCUUUGGAUGGAGAAACUAAGAAGAUUCGCUGCCACCAAUCUUGCUUGUCUUGCAUUCGCAUUCACUGCUGUCUCCAGUCUAAGGACAGACCCCAAGCUGCUGUACCAUGGACUCUGCCCUAACCCCUGCCAGACCAGAGCUGUCAGGGAUGUGGGAUGUGGCGGAGGACAGUCCUGACAAAAGAAUUCCAAGUGCCACCACUGAUCCACAUUGGCAAGCUGUUACAGAAGCAUCUGUGCCAGCCUGGUGGCACUGACCAGUAUGUAGCACAAGAUUCGAGUGUUACUGUGUUUGUCCUCACUAAAUCUUCUAAGCAAGAUGGUGAAGUGUUCAGAUAUGUUUACUCCUUCAUCCCUUGAGUAGGAUGCCAGCCAGGAGAGGUAAGGUAGGGGUUCUUAUUUUCCUGUCUUGGUGCAGGGAGAGCCUUUGAUCAGGGAGGCUCUUGGGAUCAUCUCUUGCAGUGCCUUUCAGCCUUUCCCUAAUUACUCAGUGUUUUCCUGCUGGUGGUCCCACCCUGUGGCUCCAGCACAAUCAGGAGGACACUCCUGUUUUCUGAGAACUGAGGAAAGAGCAGCAGGCACCAACAAAAAACUAUCUCCCAUGGUCAAGUAAGUAGCAUGGGUUGAGGCAGGAAGAUACAGACCCCAGGUUUUUACUUGGUUAUGUGGAAAGGAAUUUCUUCUUGUAAACUUUUAUCUAUCCCAAAGGUGACUUGAAAGUUUGGCAACACUCUUGCCAAAGCCAAAAUUAUUCCCAAAUUGUGAAAUACAAAAUGUAUUUGCAUUUUAAUUUGCAUUCUGUUUUUUUUUUUUUUGCUUUUUUUUUUUUUUUACUUUCGUAUUUCGAAGUCCCCACGACUCCUACGACUAGAAACAUGAAAAUUAUUCUUAUCAUCAGUACUACUGCUGCUCGUAACAAUAAUACAUAAAAGCUAAGAUUCUUAGAUAAUAAACAAAUUUCAUGAGCUGUGAGCA